RNAcentral lists this ribosomal RNA (343 nucleotides) under uncultured soil bacterium. RNAcentral's name for it is "bacterial SSU rRNA". It matches the Rfam family "Bacterial small subunit ribosomal RNA", at positions 26 to 366 of the family's 1533-position model. The record is from RNAcentral.
AGAUUGAACGCUGGCGGCAGGCCUAACACAUGCAAGUCGAGCGGUAGAGAGGCGCUUGCAUCUCUUGAGAGCGGCGGACGGGUGAGUAAUGCCUAGGAAUCUGCCUAGUGGUGGGGGAUAACGUUCGGAAACGGACGCUAAUACCGCAUACGUCCUACGGGAGAAAGCGGGGGACCUUCGGGCCUCGCGCCAUUAGAUGGAGCCUAGGUCGGAUUAGCUAGUUGGUGAGGUAAUGGCUCACCAAGGCGACGAUCCGUAACUGGUCUGGAGAGGAUGAUCAGUCACACGUGGAACUGGAGACACGGUCCAGACUCCGUACGGGACGCAGCAGGUGGGAAUAGUU